Molecule: small nuclear RNA, 104 nt
Organism: Peromyscus eremicus (cactus mouse)
Lineage: Eukaryota; Metazoa; Chordata; Mammalia; Rodentia; Cricetidae
Source: RefSeq, a predicted model, not a curated record
GUGCUCAGGUCAGCAGCACAUACGCUAAAACUGCAACUUUACAGAGAUUAUCGUGACACCUGCACGAGGAUAACAUGCCCAUUUGUGAAACAUCCUAUUAAAAA